UUGAGCCGGAUGAUGGGAAACUGUCAAGUCCGGUUCUUAGGGGAGGGGUGCAGGGCGACCUGUCACCUCUUACCCGAC
Candidatus Glomeribacter gigasporarum BEG34 is the source of this 78-nucleotide non-coding RNA. Lineage: Bacteria; Pseudomonadati; Pseudomonadota; Betaproteobacteria; Burkholderiales; Burkholderiaceae. The record is from Rfam.